UCGCGUCGGAAUGAGUGCUUGAGCACUAAAGUCUGCUUUUAGCUGAAUGAGCUCAGUGAGCAGAACAGGAAGUUGGAAUGUGAGUCACGGAAAGUUCAACCUGCAGAGAAAGUACAAGUCCUUCACGACACACAGGAGCCGAGAAAUGGCUGUUCCUAAAGCGUACGACCCCAAACCCAGCAAACCAGAGAAACCUCCAUCAAAUAAAG
Long non-coding RNA from Sinocyclocheilus rhinocerous, 209 nucleotides. RefSeq lists it as uncharacterized. The record is from RefSeq and is a predicted model, not a curated record. The transcript has 3 exons. Lineage: Eukaryota; Metazoa; Chordata; Actinopteri; Cypriniformes; Cyprinidae.